UUGCUGAGCGUGCUCCUGAACUGCAGCAACGUGGACCUGGGACCCACCCUGAGUCGCAUGAAGGACUUCACCAAGGGUUUCAGCCCUGAGAGCAAAGGAUAUGCGAUUGGCAAUGCCCCGGAGUUGGCCAAGGCCCAUAAUAGCCAUGCCAGGCCCGAGCCACGCCACCUCCCUGAGAAGCAGAAUGGCCUUAGUGCAGUGCGGACCAUGGAGGCGUUCCACUUUGUCAGCUAUGUGCCUAUCACAGGCCGGCUCUUUGAGCUGGAUGGGCUGAAGGUCUACCCCAUUGACCAUGGGCCCUGGGGGGAGGACGAGGAGUGGACAGACAAGGCCCGGCGGGUCAUCAUGGAGCGUAUCGGCCUCGCCACUGCAGGGUAAGGGCCCUGUGCCUGCCCUGUUCUACUCUCUGGAGCUGUACCUACUUUGGGAGGGACAGAGAGUAUCCAGGUGAUUUGUAAAUUGCAAGGCCAUAUGGUGAAUCUGGCAAGAUCAGGCUUAGAUCAUGGGCUCUCAACUUGUUGUCUUAUUUCCUGCCUGGGCUGCCUGUGGCCUGCUCCUGGGUGGGCUGGGGGAGGGGCAGGCCUCAGUGGAGCCUUAGGCAGCCCAGGUCUGCUGGUUCACUUCCAGAUAGGCCCCUCAUACAGCUUGUUGGAAGGUACCAGCUCAGGUGCCUGGCAUGUAUGGCUAGUCGCUGCCUGCCUGUUGGGGUGGGGCCUAUACUUACAGCUGCAGGUGUGACUGCAGGGAGCCCUGCCAGGAUAUCUGCCUCAACCUGAUGGCGGGGCCGGGGCGGGAGCUGCUCUCACGGCUGCGGCUGUGACUGCAGGGAGCCCUACCACGACAUCCGCUUCAACCUGAUGGCAGUGGUGCCCGACCGCAGGAUCAAGUAUGAGGCCAGGCUGCAUGUGCUGAAGGUGAACCGUCAGACAGUACUAGAGGCUCUGCAGCAGCUGAUAAGAGUAACACAGCCAGAGCUGAUUCAGACCCACAAGUCUCAAGAGUCACAGCUGCCUGAGGAGUCCAAGUCAGCCAGCAACAAGUCCCCGCUGGUG
This 1052-nucleotide small RNA is filed under the name Pan troglodytes (chimpanzee). RNAcentral's name for it is "retained intron". Lineage: Eukaryota; Metazoa; Chordata; Mammalia; Primates; Hominidae. The record is from RNAcentral.